GAGUCACAGCUGGGACACAUACUGUGGCUGUUCAUUAACUCUAUCCUAGUUGCUGCUGUGAAAAAAUACAUGGACUAGACACAAGAGAACGGCAGGAAGACCAACAACAGCAAAACCUUUUGCUGGUAUUAUAUUUUUACUCCCUGAAUCUACCUCUUGCAUCCCAAAGAUUUUGCUCCAUGCACCAAGUGAAAAAGGGAUACAACAUCUGACAAAGACACUGUGAUUUUCCACUAUCUUAUGAGAGUAAGCUUCAUGGACAAGCUAUUUGGAUAUGAACAUAAAUUUAAAAUGGGAUAAAAUUAAAAGGGGAUUACCAACAGAAGAUCAUUCCAGCUAACAUUACAUCUUUCUUUGAUAAGACACCUAAAAACACUUUGAAUGGAGGUGCAGACCCCUUUGAAUUGAAGAGAGGAAGGAGAUAUUACUGCUGCUGGAACUGCACUUCCCUUUAGAAAAAAUAAAAUGUGUUAUUGCCACAUACAAAGGAUGAAGAUAAGGAAGACUUAUGCCCCCUCUACAUGUUCAGAUUUCUGAGGUCAGUUUCAGAUUUACAAUGCUUGAUUCGACGUGACUCCACACCCAUCUCCCUGGAAAACAUCUGUCCAAACUUUCCUGGACACUUUCUUUAAGAAAGCAGAUGAAACUCCAGAAAAACCUGCACCAAGACUCCUGAGAAGACUCCAGACAAGAACCCUUCAAAAACUUCAAACAAGAGCCCUUCAAAAAGUUCAGCAAAGUCACCUCAAAGAAGUCCUUCCAAAUCAAUGAUUGCUAUUUACAACAUAAAUACAAUAAUGUAGCUAUAUUACUCAUCUACAAUUGAUUGAGUACAAAAUUCUGGGUUAUUUUUGGUCAAAAUAGUGUAUUGGGCCUUGGUUCAGAAACCAUUCCUGCAUUUAUAACAUUGUUUCCUAUAGGAAAAUUUGUUCCAAGUUACAUCGUUUAGACUUAAGACAUGGUUUUCAGGAACCAAUUGUGUCGUAAGUCUGAGGACUGCCUGCAUUUUGGAAGGUAAUAGCUAUGAAGGGAAAGAUAUUUUUGUUUGGUUUCUUAUAGUGAAAACAUUUCAGGUUGCUGUCAUAUUGAAUGAAAUAGUUUGAAUGUUUGUAAUGGUUGCCCAUUAGCCAGUUUCAGGAAGAAGAUAAGAUUUAUCUCCUUAUAUAGGUCAUUGUUUUGGACUACAUGUGGAAGAUCCAGACUUUGCUUAAAGUUUUAACUCUUGAAUUUUAUCUUUAGAAGUCUUUUACAAAGAGAACCUGAAAAUUGACCCUUAAGCAAAUAUCCUGAGUUCCGAGAGAUCAAACCCUAGAGCCUUUUGACCAGAUAGGUAAGAAAAGGUCACUUGCAGUGGUAUGGAAGUUCCCCAAAAGUAAUUAAAAUGAUCAACAAAAGGAACUAAUUACUAAGCAAAAGAAUCUGAGUAAGAUCCGAGCCCAAAUUUGGGGGUAAUGACAGGUUUGAGUAGGAGGAGCCCAAGACGGUAAGUCACUCAAUAAAAACUGUAACUUACUCUCCCAAAUUGGAGGUGACUAUACUUGCAGAACAAUGAAGGAAGAAUUGCAAGUGUAGGCCGGAUCAGACUGAUCACCUGAACCACCCUCUCCGUGAACACGAAUCUCUUAGUUCACGCUGAAGCCGCGGAGCACCUGAAAGGGACUGAAGGAAGGGGACUUAGUCCUAUCACUGCUGAGGCCAGCCCAUUGAAUUGUAUUGCUGAGGCGAGCCCAUUGAACUGUACUACUGAGGCCAACCCAUUAAAUUGUACUACUGAGGAAUGAAACCAUAUUUAGGUGUUUGGCUUCUCGGAAUUCUAGGAUUGUAAGUAUAUUAUGAAAAAAUAAUAGUAUUGAUUCAAAUUUAACUUUGAGUUGUAACUGUAGUUGUUUUUGUAAUACUAAUUCUUAUAGCAUUGUUUGGGAAGGAAGUGCAUUCGGAGCAUUGUUUCUGAUAUAUGUAAUUAUUGUGUUCUUAAUGUUUGCGGUGUUUCUUAAAGCUAAGCCGUGUUAUACACGUAGCAAAGAAUUUUAAAAUAAAAUUGUGUUGUAUGAA
Molecule: long non-coding RNA, 2052 nt
Organism: Alligator mississippiensis (American alligator)
Lineage: Eukaryota; Metazoa; Chordata; Crocodylia; Alligatoridae
Exons: 7
Source: RefSeq, a predicted model, not a curated record